Molecule: unclassified non-coding RNA, 352 nt
Filed under: soil metagenome
Description: partial contains 5.8S ribosomal RNA, internal transcribed spacer 2, and large subunit ribosomal RNA
Rfam family: 5.8S ribosomal RNA (bases 1-120)
Source: RNAcentral
GAUGAAGAACGUAGCGAAAUGCGAUAAGUAAUGUGAAUUGCAGAAUUCAGUGAAUCAUCGAAUCUUUGAACGCACAUUGCGCCCGCCAGUAUUCUGGCGGGCAUGCCUGUUCGAGCGUCAUUACAACCCUCAGGCCCCCGGGCCUGGCGUUGGGGAUCGGCGGAGCCCCCCGUGGGCACACGCCGUCCCCCAAAUGCAGUGGCGGUCCCGCCGCAGCUUCCAUCGCGUAGUAGCUAACACCUCGCGACUGGAGAGCGGCGCGGCCACGCCGUAAAACACCCAACUCUUCUGAUGUUGACCUCGAAUCAGGUAGGAAUACCCGCUGAACUUAAGCAUAUCAAUAAGCGGAGGA